GGUACCCACCUCACCCCGUUGGGCCUCUUCCUCAAGUUCUGUACCUCUCUGGUCUCUUCCAGUUUUAAUCUUUAAAAAGAAGAAGAAGAAGAAGCAAUGCAUAAGCUGAGUGAUUCCCCGCGGAAUCCAAAGCUAACAGAGCCAAUAAGGCACCUUCGAGGGCAUCCCAGCCCAGCUACUGAGCCACCAGCACAGUGGUCCAGAGGACGACCUUGUGCCUAGACCCACCGGGAGUCAGAGCCACUGCGCAUCCCGGAGGCAUCUCUCUCAACCGUUCGAGCUUGGGGCGGUGGCCUCACCCCUUGAGCCUCAAUUUCUGCGUCCGCAGAAGGAACCACCACCCGAGCUCACAGUUAACAAUGUCAGCGAAGCGCCGAGCCGGUGGCUCCUUGCCAGAGGCCUCCACUCACUCCAGACCCCUAUAGCCCGUCGCUGUCAGCUGUCAACAAAGGAUGCGAAUGCUGGCCGCUUUCUGUGGGCUUCGUGUCACCCAGAGGUGAGCCCAGGCCAGGAUGGGGGACUCCAGGAACCUUUGCCCUCACCUUGACUCCAUAGGAGAGGUGACCAAAGAGGACUUGCUGCUCAAAUCUAAG
Molecule: small RNA, 593 nt
Filed under: Pan troglodytes (chimpanzee)
Lineage: Eukaryota; Metazoa; Chordata; Mammalia; Primates; Hominidae
Description: processed transcript
Source: RNAcentral